Molecule: ribosomal RNA, 367 nt
Filed under: uncultured organism
Description: bacterial SSU rRNA
Rfam family: Bacterial small subunit ribosomal RNA
Source: RNAcentral
CGGAGGGUCCAAGCGUUAUCCGGAAUCAGUUGGGUUUAAAGGGUCCGUAGGCGGUUUUGUAAGUCAGUGGUGAAAGCCCAUCGCUCAACGGUGGAACGGCCAUUGAUACUGCAAGACUUGAAUUGUUGGGAAGUAACUAGAAUAUGUAGUGUAGCGGUGAAAUGCUUAGAGAUUACAUGGAAUACCAAUUGCGAAGGCAGGUUACUACCAACACAUUGACGCUGAUGGACGAAAGCGUGGGGAGCGAACAGGAUUAGAUACCCUGGUAGUCCACGCCGUAAACGAUGGAUACUAGCUGUUCGGAGCAAUCUGAGUGGCUAAGCGAAAGUGAUAAGUAUCCCACCUGGGGAGUACGUUCGCAAGAAUG